Molecule: ribosomal RNA, 1327 nt
Filed under: Salmonella enterica
Lineage: Bacteria; Pseudomonadati; Pseudomonadota; Gammaproteobacteria; Enterobacterales; Enterobacteriaceae
Description: partial 23S ribosomal RNA
Rfam family: Bacterial large subunit ribosomal RNA
Source: RNAcentral
GCUAAACCAUGCACCGAAGCUGCGGCAGCGAACGUAUCACCCAAGACAACUUUACGGAGUUGACGAUUGACGGAGCGAAGCGACGUCAAAGCGUUCAUUAAAGUCGAGUUGGCUUAGGGAUACGUUCGUUGGGUAGGGGAGCGUUCUGUAAGCCUGUGAAGGUGUGUCGUGAGGCAUGCUGGAGGUAUCAGAAGUGCGAAUGCUGACAUAAGUAACGAUAAAGCGGGUGAAAAGCCCGCUCGCCGGAAGACCAAGGGUUCCUGUCCAACGUUAAUCGGGGCAGGGUGAGUCGACCCCUAAGGCGAGGCCGAAAGGCGUAGUCGAUGGGAAACGGGUUAAUAUUCCCGUACUUGGUGUUACUGCGAAGGGGGGACGGAGAAGGCUAUGUUGGCCGGGCGACGGUUGUCCCGGUUUAAGCGUGUAGGUGUGUGUUCCAGGUAAAUCCGGUUCACUUUAACACUGAGGCGUGACGACGAGGCACUACGGUGCUGAAGCAACAAAUGCCCUGCUUCCAGGAAAAGCCUCUAAGCAUCAGGUAACAUCAAAUCGUACCCCAAACCGACACAGGUGGUCAGGUAGAGAAUACCAAGGCGCUUGAGAGAACUCGGGUGAAGGAACUAGGCAAAAUGGUGCCGUAACUUCGGGAGAAGGCACGCUGACACGUAGGUGAAGUGAUUUACUCAUGGAGCUGAAGUCAGUCGAAGAUACCAGCUGGCUGCAACUGUUUAUUAAAAACACAGCACUGUGCAAACACGAAAGUGGACGUAUACGGUGUGACGCCUGCCCGGUGCCGGAAGGUUAAUUGAUGGGGUCAGCGCAAGCGAAGCUCCUGAUCGAAGCCCCGGUAAACGGCGGCCGUAACUAUAACGGUCCUAAGGUAGCGAAAUUCCUUGUCGGGUAAGUUCCGACCUGCACGAAUGGCGUAAUGAUGGCCAGGCUGUCUCCACCCGAGACUCAGUGAAAUUGAACUCGCUGUGAAGAUGCAGUGUACCCGCGGCAAGACGGAAAGACCCCGUGAACCUUUACUAUAGCUUGACACUGAACAUUGAGCCUUGAUGUGUAGGAUAGGUGGGAGGCUUUGAAGUGUGGACGCCAGUCUGCAUGGAGCCGACCUUGAAAUACCACCCUUUAAUGUUUGAUGUUCUAACGUGGACCCGUAAUCCGGGUUGCGGACAGUGUCUGGUGGGUAGUUUGACUGGGGCGGUCUCCUCCUAAAGAGUAACGGAGGAGCACGAAGGUUGGCUAAUCCUGGUCGGACAUCAGGAGGUUAGUGCAAUGGCAUAAGCCAGCUUGACUGCGAGCGUGACGGCGCGAGCAGGUGCGAAAG